GAUGAACGCUGGCGGCGUGCCUAAUACAUGCAAGUCGAGCGAACAGAUGAGGAGCUUGCUCCUCUGACGUUAGCGGCGGACGGGUGAGUAACACGUGGAUAACCUACCUAUAAGACUGGGAUAACUUCGGGAAACCGGAGCUAAUACCGGAUAAUAUAUUGAACCGCAUGGUUCAAUAGUGAAAGACGGUUUUGCUGUCACUUAUAGAUGGAUCCGCGCCGCAUUAGCUAGUUGGUAAGGUAACGGCUUACCAAGGCAACGAUGCGUAGCCGACCUGAGAGGGGGAUCGGCCACACUGGAACUGAGAAACGGUCCAGACGCCUACGGGAGGCAGCAGUAGGGAAUCUUCCGAAAUGGGCGAAAGCCUGACGGAGCAACGCCGCGUGAGUGAUGAAGGGCUUCGGAUCGUAAAACUCUGUUAUUAGGGAAGAACAAAUGUGUAAGUAACUAUGCACGUCUUGACGGUACCAAAUCAGAAAGCCACGGCUAACUACGU
Molecule: ribosomal RNA, 496 nt
Filed under: uncultured bacterium
Lineage: Bacteria
Description: partial 16S ribosomal RNA
Rfam family: Bacterial small subunit ribosomal RNA
Source: RNAcentral